Molecule: ribosomal RNA, 468 nt
Filed under: uncultured bacterium
Lineage: Bacteria
Description: partial 16S ribosomal RNA
Rfam family: Bacterial small subunit ribosomal RNA
Source: RNAcentral
GACGAACGCUGGCGGCGUGCUUAACACAUGCAAGUCGAACGGAAAGGCCCUGCUUUUGUGGGGUGCUCGAGUGGCGAACGGGUGAGUAACACGUGAGUAACCUGCCCUUGACUUUGGGAUAACUUCAGGAAACUGUGGCUAAUACCGGAUAGGAGCUCCUGCUGCAUGGUGGGGGUUGGAAAGUUUCGGCGGUUGGGGAUGGACUCGCGGCUUAUCAGCUUGUUGGUGGGGUAGUGGCUUACCAAGGCUUUGACGGGUAGCCGGCCUGAGAGGGUGACCGGCCACAUUAGGACUGAGAUACGGCCCAGACUGCUACGGGAGGCAGCAGUGGGGAAUAUUGCACAAUGGGCGGAAGCCUGAUGCAGCAACGCCGCGUGCGGGAUGACGGCCUUCGGGUUGUAAACCGCUUUCGCCUGUGACGAAGCGUGAGUGACGGUAAUGGGUAAAGAAGCACCGGCUAACUACGUG